GACGAACGCUGGCGGCGUGCUUAACACAUGCAAGUCGAACGGAAAGGCCCUGCUUUUGUGGGUUGCUCGAUUGGCGAACGGGUGUGUAACACGUGAGUAACCUGCCCCUGUCUUUGUGAUAACUUCUCGAAACUGGGGCUCUUACCGCAUAUGAUCUCCUGCUGCAUGUUGGUGGUUGGAAAGUUUGGGCUGUUCGAGAUGUACUGGCGGCUUAUCAGCUUUUUGGUGUGGUAGUUGCUUACCAAGGAUUUGACGGGUAGCCGGCCUGAGAGGGUUACCGGCGACAAGGGGACUGAGAUACGGCGCAGACGGGUACGGGAGGCAGCAGGGGGGAAUAUUGCAGAAUGGGGGGAAGCCAGAGACGGAAACGCCGCGUGCGGGAUGACGGCCUUCGGGUGAUAAACAGAUGUGGAAGGUGACGAAGAGGGAGUGACGGUAAUGAGUAAAGAAGCACCGGCUAACUACGUG
Molecule: ribosomal RNA, 468 nt
Filed under: uncultured bacterium
Lineage: Bacteria
Description: partial 16S ribosomal RNA
Rfam family: Bacterial small subunit ribosomal RNA
Source: RNAcentral